GUAGGUAUGGGGAGAGGACAGGGA
RNAcentral lists this non-coding RNA (24 nucleotides) under Mus musculus (house mouse). Lineage: Eukaryota; Metazoa; Chordata; Mammalia; Rodentia; Muridae. The record is from miRBase by way of RNAcentral.